GUCUGUCUAUGAUGUCUGGUUGGAUAUACAGAGGAAGAAAGGAUCACUGAUCAACGAAAGCGCCCCACUAAUACCAUCUAUCCCUUACCCGAUGAGUAACAUUCAUCUCUUCAGCACGUUCGGUACUUAAUUCUGUUAGUUAGAAGUAGGAGCGGUUUUUUUUUUUUGGUGCAGAUACGAGUUGUUUAAGACGGGAACUUUGGCUACUUCUGUUAUCUUAAGACUCUGUAGGAUUUUAUAGUGUGGUAAGACUGUCAUGCUUAAUGUUGCUGCGGACUGGUGGAGUAGGGAUGAAUUCUGCAAUGGAUGAUAUGAACUUGAUUCAGCAGGCGCAGAGGCAUCACUUAGUCGUAAGGGAACUUGGGGAGGAGAUUGAUCUGGAAAUUGGCCAUGGGGAUGAUGAACCUUCAUUUGCUAACACCCCUCUCCUAACUGGCCCACCAAGUGAACCUUCUGUGGAGGAGCAUGAUGAAGCCAAGAAUAUUAUGGUUUCUCAACUUCCGAUUGAAGAUCAAGAUAUGUCAAAGGCACAAGCAGUAAAAAGGAAGAAGAAGGUGGUAAAACGAUGGAGAGAGGAAUGGGCUGAUACUUACAAGUGGGCAUAUGUAGAUGUGAAGGAUGGAACUGCAAGGAUAUUCUGCUCUAUUUGUAGAGAAUAUGGUAGGAAGCACAGAAGGAAUCCAUAUGGGAAUGAAGGCAGUAGGAAUAUGCAGAUGAGUGCAUUGGAAGAACACAAUAAUAGUUUGCUUCACAAGGAGGCACUUCGUCUUCAGAUAGCCUCCAAGGACAAGAUCAUUGUCGACAAACCUAUUUAUGUAAAAGCUCUCAUGUCAAAAACGGCUGGAUCAAUUGUUGAAGCUGCACUUAGAAGGGAUCCCCAUGAGGCUGAGUUUAUACAAUCAGUGCAAGAAGCUGUCCAUGGUUUAGAAAGAGUAAUUGCAAAGAAUACUCAUUAUGUCAACAUCAUGGAGCGCUUGCUAGAACCUGAACGUAUGCUUCUUUUUCGAGUUCCUUGGGUGGAUGACAGGGGUGAGACACAUGUCAAUAGAGGGUUUCGAGUACAUUUUAAUCAGGCAUUGGGUCCAUGUAGGGGUGGCAUUCGAUUUCAUCCUUCUAUGAACUUAAGUAUUGCUAAGUUUCUUGGUUUUGAACAGGUACUCUUUGUUUUUCUGUUUUUCGAUGGACCAUAAUUCUGUGUUUGAAAUUUAUGUCGAAAAUCAGAAUGUAUUUCCCAUUUCUUCUUUCUGGGAUGAUUCUGAACGGUUGUUUGUGAACUGCAUAUUCAUUACCUUUGGGAAACUCCUAACAUAGUGUUGGAAGAACAUUUAAAUAAGAAGGAAAAACUAUCAAACACAAGAAGGUUUAAUUCUGACAAUUACUAUGUUGUGUUGUGCUCCACUUUGUCGAAGACAUUAAAGAAUGCCUUAUCACCAUACAAAUUGGGAGGAGCUGCCGGUGGAAGUGAUUUUGAUCCAAAAGGAAAAAGUGAUAAUGAGAUUAUGCGCUUUUGCCAAAGUUUCAUGAAUGAGAUCUAUAGAUAUCUGGGUCCUGACAAGGACCUUCCUGCAGAGGAGAUGGGAGUUGGUACUCGAGAAAUGGGAUAUCUCUUUGGGCAGUAUAGACGUCUAGUUGGUCAUUUUCAGGGAAGUUUUACAGGGCCAAGGAUAUUUUGGUCUGGCUCUAGCCUUCGAACUGAAGCUACUGGCUAUGGGCUGGUUUUCUUUGCUCAGCUUAUGCUUGCAGACAUGAAUAAGGAACUCAAAGGACUAAGGUCCCUCACUCGACUCCGAAUCCUUUGUAAAGUUGUUUAAGAUUCUACAUGCCAAUAACAUAGUAUUGAAAUCUUUAUUUUAUUUAAUAUAGGGUACAAUUUGCUUGUUCUCACUGCUUAGCUGAACUCUCUAAUGCCUUGUGUUUGAGAAUUGGGAUAUUGUUAUACUUUUAAUUCUUGUAAAUAUAAGUGUACCAUGCUAACUUAUCAAAAUAUUUUAUUAAUGAUGAUUUGAGGUUAACUUUAUUAUUGCUCAAUCUACUGAAAGGAGCUUCAACAUAUUGGCAAAGUUUAGUUGCUGCUGAAUCUAAAAUUCCUUGGUUCACAUAUUUUUCUCUUAAUUUCCUGUUCAGAUGUGUUGUAAGUGGUUCUGGAAAGAUUGCAAUGCAUGUUCUGGAGAAGCUUAUUGCUUACGGUGCUGUCCCUGUCACCGUAUCAGAUUCUAAGGGAUACUUGGUGGAUGAUGAAGGAUUCGAUUACGUGAAAAUAUCAUUUCUUCGAGAUAUCAAAGCCCAUCAGAGAAGUUUGAGAGAUUACUCGAAGACUUAUGCUCGGUCUAAGUACUAUGAUGAAGCAAAACCUUGGAAUGAAAGGUGUGAUGUUGCAUUUCCUUGCGCUUCCCAAAAUGAAAUUGACCAAUCUGAUGCCCUUAAUCUGGUUAAUUCAGGUUGUCGUAUACUAGUAGAAGGUUCAAACAUGCCCUGUACACCUGAAGCUGUUGAGGUCCUGAGAAAAGCAAAUGUUCUUAUUGCUCCUGCUAUGGCAGCUGGUGCUGGAGGGGUAUGAUACUCGAUUUGACCUAUGCACAAUAAGCCUCUCUCUUCUUUGUCAAUAUAUAUAUAUAUUAUGAAAUUUCUUCAUAGGCAGAAAUAUAUUCGAAAAUUGAAAAUUGAAAUAUCAUCAUUCCAUAGCAUUCUAUCUAAUAUAAGGCGAAUACAAAGCAAGCUUAAUUUAUCUCAUAAAGAAGAUGCAUCUUAACAGGUACAUUCAGGAUAAACUUUUUGUUUUCGUUUUGCAAGACUGGAAAUCCAGGCAGAUUAAUAUUAAAAUCUUUGAAUUUGCAGUUAAAUUUAAUGAUUUAAACUUCUUUGAAGGUGAUUUGUAACAUUAGGAAGCCCUCAGGAUAUGAUUGUAAUUGCUAAGUAUCUCAUGAUGUUGCUCUGCAAGUGUAAUAUGGUGGCAUUUAAGGGUUUUUGGUCUUUAAAGGUAGACAGAUAAGAUCGCUUGAUUUUAUCAUGAUUUAUUCUUUUAAGUAUCCUUAAUGAUAAUUAGUAUGCCCUUUAUUUAUGCACUAAAUAUGUAGUAUACUUGGCUGUAGGUUGUUGCUGGGGAGCUUGAAUUAAACCAUGAAUGCAACUUGAUGCACUGGUCCCCUGAGGACUUUGAAUCUAAAUUGCAGGUGAGACUUUAUUUGCAUUUAUUAUUUCCUUGAUAUGAUUAUUUUCAAACUGGAAGAUGGAUCUCUACAAUUUUGGAACCUCUUGCCUCAAAUUGGUGAGCCAGUCAGUCAUUUACUUUGAAGAACCUAGUUAUCCAUAACCCCUGUGUUGGAAAAUGAUCUAAUGCAAAGCAGUUUUGAAGUUGUUAAAAUUGUCAUUUGUUUUUUCUGAUUAGAAAUUUUUUAUGUUGCUGCCAAAGUAGCCUGAAGUGUCUCAAAGUAACUUUUCCCAAUAUCAAUACAUGAUGACACAGAUUCGGUAGCGUGAUAACAUAGACUUGGCUUGAUUUUGGGUUAAGUAGGUUUCAUUUAUCUUUUGUGGUUCACUAGUUCUGUCCUCAUCAGAUUAAUGUUCAGAAAUUGGUACUUUUAAGUUGCAAUUUAUGGUCAUAUUUCUAUUGUUUUUCUUUUUUUUUUCUUACUUUUACUUUGGACUGGCAGGAAGCAAUGAAACAGAUAUACCAAAGAGCCCUCAAGGGAGCAAGUGAUUUUGGUUACCAAAAAGAGAGUCCUGAGUAAGUGCUUUUCUACAUUAGCACUAUAAUGAUACAAAUUUUCUUUGCCACUAUAGGUUGUGAUAUAAAUGAACUAUUCCCCAAGUGGCUGUGGAAUUGCGGGUAUCAGUUUUUCCAUAUUUUUUUGAAUAAUAGCAUCUAAAAUGCAUAUAUUUUAUUAAUUUAUAUUGUUUAUAUUUUUUCUAUAAAACAAACAAGUAAAUAAUUUUUGCAACACAGAUAUCAGCAUGAUGGCGAGUCACCUGUUCCAGUUGUGUAGAUGUGUUUAUGCAGGCUUUAGUACCCUUUCACUCAUGUUUUGCGUGUCAAAGUAGAAUGUAAUCGAGGAUUAAAAGCAAUCCCAACAUAAUGUGCUCUUCAUAUAUUGAAUUCUUGUUCUCCGAAAAUUUUACCCACAUGAUUGCACCACAAUAUAACGGGAAAUCUGCAAUUUGAGUGUACAUCUACCGGUGUGAAUAAUGGCACCAAGGUGGUGAUAAUAAAUGCUUUAUGAAUGUCCAAUGUGUUUGGAAACCCAAUUCCUCUAUGUAGCAUUUGAUUUACUGAAAGACAUGGUUAUCAGGGGACAGCAGUGCAAUAUAGCAAAUCUCUUUGAUUAUAUCUGAAUUAGAGGAUUACAGAUUCACAUCCUGGUGAUGGCUGGUCUUAAGAAAAUUGUGUAGAACAAAACCUAAAAAUGCUUUUGUGCCUGCAUUUUUUUCCUUGAGUGUAGAUAAUUCAACCAAAUGUUGUGUUUCUAGGAACAAAAUUAAGCUUAUGGUGAAUAUUAAGCAUUUAUCCUGUUGAUCAACUUUGCAGGCCUUCUGCAUGA
This 4535-nucleotide unclassified non-coding RNA is filed under the name Hevea brasiliensis (rubber tree). Lineage: Eukaryota; Viridiplantae; Streptophyta; Magnoliopsida; Malpighiales; Euphorbiaceae. The record is from RNAcentral.